This 253-nucleotide ribosomal RNA is filed under the name uncultured bacterium. RNAcentral's name for it is "partial 16S ribosomal RNA". It matches the Rfam family "Bacterial small subunit ribosomal RNA", at positions 524 to 776 of the family's 1533-position model. The record is from RNAcentral.
UACAGAGGUCUCAAGCGUUGUUCGGAUUCAUUGGGCGUAAAGGGUGCGUAGGUGGCGGGGUAAGUCUGAUGUGAAAGCUUCGAGCUCAACUCGAAAAUGGCAUUGGAUACUAUUCUGCUGGAGGUUUGGAGGGGGGACUGGAAUUCUCGGUGUAGCAGUGAAAUGCGUAGAUAUCGAGAGGAACACCGGUGGCGAAGGCGGCAUCCUGGACCAAUAUUGACGCUGAGGAGCGAAAGCCAGGGGAGCAAACGGG